AGUAAAAGUCGUAACAAGGUUUCCGUAGGUGAACCUGCGGAAGGAUCAUUAACGAGUUUUGAAAGGGGUUGUAGCUGGCCUUCCGAGGCAUGUGCACGCCCUGCUCAUUCCACUCUACACCUGUGCACUUACUGUGGGUCUCAGGCGAGCGUCGGUCGCUUCGCGGCGUCGUCGUUCAACUGGGCUCACGUUUUACUACAAACUAUUAAAGUAUCAGAAUGUCUACUGCGAAUUAACGCAUUUAAAUACAACUUUCAGCAACGGAUCUCUUGGCUCUCGCAUCGAUGAAGAACGCAGCGAAAUGCGAUAAGUAAUGUGAAUUGCAGAAUUCAGUGAAUCAUCGAAUCUUUGAACGCACCUUGCGCUCCUUGGUAUUCCGAGGAGCAUGCCUGUUUGAGUGUCAUGAAAUUCUCAACCUAACGAGUCUUUGCGGGCUCGGUAGGCUUGGACUUGGAGGUUCUUGUCGGCCUAACGGUCGGCUCCUCUUAAAUGCAUUAGCUCGGUUCCUUGCGGAUCGGCUCACGGUGUGAUAAUUGUCUACGCCGCGACCGUUGAAGCGUUUUGGCCGGCUUCUAAUCGUCUCGUUGGAGACACUACUCUUUAUGACCUUCUGACCUCAAAUCAGGUAGGACUACCCGCUGAACUUAAGCAUAUCANUAAGCGGAGGA
RNAcentral lists this ribosomal RNA (668 nucleotides) under uncultured fungus. RNAcentral's name for it is "eukaryotic LSU rRNA". The stretch from base 250 to 403 matches the Rfam family "5.8S ribosomal RNA". Lineage: Eukaryota; Fungi. The record is from RNAcentral.